GACGAACGCUGGCGGCGUGCUUAACACAUGCAAGUCGAACGGAAAGGCCCUGCUUUUGUGGGGUGCUCGAGUGGCGAACGGGUGAGUAACACGUGAGUAACCUGCCCUUGACUUUGGGAUAACUUCAGGAAACUGGGGCUAAUACCGGAUAGGAGCUCCUGCUGCAUGGUGGGGGUUGGAAAGUUUCGGCGGUUGGGGAUGGACUCGCGGCUUAUCAGCUUGUUGGUGGGGUAGUGGCCUACCAAGGCUUUGACGGGUAGCCGGCCUGAGAGGGUGACCGGCCACAUUGGGACUGAGGUACGGCCCAGACUCCUACGGGAGGCAGCAGUGGGGAAUAUUGCACAAUGGGCGGAAGCCUGAUGCAGCAACGCCGCGUGCGGGAUGACGGCCUUCGGGUUGUAAACCGCUUUCGCCUGUGACGAAGCGUGAGUGACGGUAAUGGGUAAAGAAGCACCGGCUAACUACGUG
Molecule: ribosomal RNA, 468 nt
Filed under: uncultured bacterium
Lineage: Bacteria
Description: partial 16S ribosomal RNA
Rfam family: Bacterial small subunit ribosomal RNA
Source: RNAcentral